CCAUUUAAAGAGUGCGUAACAGCUCACUAGUCUAGUUUUUUGGCGCCACAAGUAUAACGGGGCUAAGCUUAAUACCGAAUUUUUGGAUGGUGACAUAGAAUGUCAAGCAUGGUAGACAAAUGUUGUAUAGGGGUUGAAGCUUGAGCGUGAGCAUGAGUGGACUAUAUACAAGUAAGAAUUCCGGCGUGAGUAACGAAUGAAAGUGAGAAUCUUUCUAGCCGAUUGAUCAAGGUUUCUGGGGCUAGGCUCGUCCUCCUCAGGUAAGUCGAUCCUAAGUUGAGGCCGAAAGGCGUAGAUGAUGGGCAACGGGUUAAUAUUCCCGUACUACCUUGAACGUUCGAUGGGUUGACAGAAAAGGUUAAACUGGGAGGGUUAUUGGAUUCCCUUUUAAGAUUUUGAGUACGUUGAGUAUGAAAAUCAACUCAACAUAAGUGCAAGGAUUGAAUACGAUCUCGGCCAGCAAUGGUUGGGAAAGCCAGACUUAAUCAUAUUCUCCAGAAAAGACUCUAAGAGACAAAGACGUUCAAGGUACUCGUACCGAUAACGAACACACGUGAUCAAGGAGAAUAUCCUAAGGCUAGCGAGCGAACUACAGUUAAGGAACUCUGCAAAAUGACUCUGUAACUUCGGGAGAAAGAGUGCCCGCAUAGAAUGCGGGUCACAGUAAAGAAUGAGGGCGGACUGUUUAACAAAAACACAGCUAUAUGCAAAAUUCAAACAUGAAGUAUAUGUGGCGACACCUGCCCGGUGCCAGAAGGUCAAAGAA
RNAcentral lists this ribosomal RNA (766 nucleotides) under uncultured bacterium. Its description in RNAcentral is "partial 23S ribosomal RNA". It matches the Rfam family "Bacterial large subunit ribosomal RNA", at positions 1119 to 1884 of the family's 2925-position model. The record is from RNAcentral.